RNAcentral lists this ribosomal RNA (253 nucleotides) under uncultured bacterium. RNAcentral's name for it is "partial 16S ribosomal RNA". It matches the Rfam family "Bacterial small subunit ribosomal RNA", at positions 524 to 776 of the family's 1533-position model. The record is from RNAcentral.
UACGAAGGGAGCUAGCGUUGUUCGGAAUCCCUGGGCGUAAAGCGCACGUAGGCGGAUUUGUCAGUCAGGGGUGAAAUCCCGGGGCUCAACCUCGGAACUGCCUUUGAUACAGCAAGUCUUGAGUUCGAGAGAGGUGGGUGGAAUUCCUAGUGUAGAGGUGAAAUUCGUAGAUAUUAGGAAGAACACCGGUGGCGAAGGCGGCCCACUGGCUCGAUACUGACGCUGAGGUGCGAAAGCGUGGGGAGCAAACAGG